RNAcentral lists this transfer RNA (71 nucleotides) under Craterellus lutescens. Its description in RNAcentral is "Cantharellus lutescens tRNA-Gly". It matches the Rfam family "tRNA". From Rfam's summary of the family: Transfer RNA (tRNA) molecules are approximately 80 nucleotides in length. The record is from RNAcentral. Lineage: Eukaryota; Fungi; Basidiomycota; Agaricomycetes; Cantharellales; Hydnaceae. RNAcentral also lists the same sequence under 1 other name.
ACGGGUAUCGUUUAGUGGUAAGACUUCUACCUUCCAAGUAGUUAAUAUCAGUUCGAUUCUGAUUAUCCGUA